Molecule: long non-coding RNA, 3771 nt
Filed under: Fragaria vesca (wild strawberry)
Lineage: Eukaryota; Viridiplantae; Streptophyta; Magnoliopsida; Rosales; Rosaceae
Description: long non-coding RNA (FVES_LNC000946)
Source: RNAcentral
GGCUUUAUAGGGAUUUAGCCGACGAAUUAAAGCGUAUUUCGUCGGUCUAAACUUUUUUUUUUUUUAAAAAAACUUUAGCCGACGAAUUAAGGCGUUUUUCGUCGGCUAUAAGUCCAUUCCAGUAAAAAAAAAACCCCAAAAUUUCUGAAUUACCAUUCCAAGCAAGCUGCAAAAUACAUCAAAACAAUUCCAUAUAACCAACAACAAGCACAUAAAACUAUAUAAUUCAUCAACUACACAAAAUCUAAAUCGUCUAAAUUAAUAUCCGCUUCUGGGGGUUGCUGCGGAGGUUGCGGCGGCUGGGGUAGCGGUAUAGCCGUAGGCAUGGGCGGAGCCGGAAGUCCCUGAAGCUGGGCAGCUGUAAAGUCCUGCAUGUACUGGAACAUCUGCUGCUGCUGGGCCUGCUGGAUGGCAUGUAUCUUGGCAACAUAGGUUGCCUGCGCGGUAUUAUAGGCUGCCUGCGAGGCAUUAUAGGCAGCCUGAGCAGCUUGCUAUUCUCGUAGUCUCUGAACUUCCGACUCUAGCUGAGUCGUCCUGGUGGUCGUGGAUGUGGUCCUGCUGCUGGUCGAGGCUGCCUUUCGUUGAAAUCCUGGAGUGGUCUUUAGGACCCCCUCGCCUUUCUUUCCUAGACCCCGGUAGUAGAAGUUGUUUGCUCUCGGUGGGAAGGUUGUGCCCAUGAUCCUUGCCCCAAUCGUCGGAUCCGAAGUGUCGAUCCGGGACAUGGUUUCGGACAUUUCUUCCUCCUGCGUGUCCGGCCAUGUCUCCCUCACUAUAACACUCAUCACCUCGUCACUAGCCUCCCUCACCUUCGCCUAUAUGGAUAAGAAAAAAUUAUUAAUUAACAUUUUGACAUAUAUAUAUAAGUAAAUUUAAAAAUUUAAAAACGUAAGAUGACUUACAAUAUCUUCCUGGGAGUCAAGAUAUGCCUUCUCGUACGUAUAGACGUAUCGGUUGACUUCUGGAUGUUCCCUGGCCGUCUCGUCCAUGAAGACAGCAAACGGUCUAGAAUCGCCAUGAUGGUUCCUUGUGUUGCGUUGCCGGUUCUGAGAGUUUGCUCGGGAAACGGCCUUUAAAGAAAAAAUAAUUAUUAGUAAAAUAUUUAAAAACGGACGUACUUAAUGACAAAUUAACUAAUUAAUUUUUUUAAAUACCUGUUUACGAGGGUUGUUGAAUUCUGAUGUCAGAAGCCAACGCCACUCGUACUCCCUGUACUGGAACUCAGCAGGGGUACCAGAACGUGCGUUCCCGUGCGUAGUUCAGUGGGUCCGCAACUCGUUCUUCCACUCCUUGUACCUACAGAUACAACAAAAUUAUUAGAAAUAUUAUUAAUAUCACAUACAAUUUUGUUUUUCAUUAACUUCCUAACGUACCUUCCCCCAUGCACAACGUCGGCCCAGCUGUCAUUCAGGUGCUCGGGCACCNNNNNNNNNNNNNNNNNNNNGAGGGAGGGAGGGAGGAGGGAGGAGGGAGGAGGCGGAGACGGGAGAGGGAGGGAGGAGGCUAGGGUUUUUCUGCUGUCGAGCAGUUAAACCCGAAAACUUUAGCCGAUGAAAUAAUUAUUUCGUCGGCUAAAGCUAAGAAUCUCGUCGGCUAAACCUUUGAAAUUCGUCGGCUAAAGUAUUUUAAACAUUUGGCACAUUGUGAUUGUGAUGAUCAAACUUGAGAAAAAGAAAUCCGACCGUCAGAUCUGACCACCAUGACAAAAUACAUGUAUGACCAAAAAUUCAACUUGAUCCGACAAGAAUAAGGGCUCGAUCCGGACGGUCAAUCUCCUAAGUCAAACCCCUAAACGCACGGAAAAGGUCGUUCGACCGUCUAAAUUACGUAUUUUGGCCAGACUUUCAACUGAAAAUAGUUUUAAAUCGAUGACACGCAACAAGUCGUAUAAAAAUUUUACGCAAAAUAACCACCGAAUAUAGGGCUACUCAUAGGGGGAAAGAAUGAAAAAUUGUAUUGACCGCAACUAUCGGCACCGAAUAUUUACCGGAAUAGUGUGAUUUGGCAACCGUGGAUAUAUUUCAACAUUCUCGACAUAUAUUAUUUCAUGACUUUUUUGAGUUUGAAGGUUUUACGUAUAGUUUGUUUUUGAAACGAAACAUUUACAUAACAUUUGGUAAACAAGUUAUACAACAUUAGUAUACAUGUUGUGAUUGUGAUGAUCAAACUUGAGAAACAGAAAUCCGACCGUCAGAUCUGACCCUCCUGACAAAAUACAUGUAUGGGAAAACAUUCAACUUGAUCCGAAAAGAAUAAGGGCUUGAUCCGGACGGUCAAUCUCCUAAGUCAAACCCCUAAAUGCACGGAAAAGGUCGUUCGACCGUCUAAAUUACGUAUUUUGGCCGGACCUCCAACUGAAAAUAGUUUCAAACCGAUGAGACGCAAGAAGUCGUCUAAAAAUUUUACGGAAAAUAACCACCGAAGAUAGGGCUAUAGUAGGUAAUAGAAAAAUUUUAGGGUUUAGCCGACGAAUACCCUAACGUAUUCGUCGGCUAUAGUAUGUAAUUAAAAAAUAAAAAAAUAACUAAAACCGACGAAAUAUUAGGUUAUUCAUCGGCUAAAACAGUAUUAGCCGACGAAAUAUAGUAUAUUUCGUCGGCUAAGAUGGGUUUAGCCGACGAAAUACACUAUAAUUCGUCGGCUAAGAUGGUUUUAGCCGACGAAUUAUGGUGUAUUUCGUCGACUUAAGGAAAAAAAUACAUUAAAAAAAAACAGACGAUAUUAGUAAACCAUACUAACUUCCUGUUCAUCAUAUAUCACCAAAAUUCAUAUAAAAUAACUGAAAUAUGAAUUCAACAUAUGUAAAGUAUAAAGAAAAAGGUCUUUAGUUAUACAAAUUAAUGGAUUACGUCCUCUAAAUUAAAACUAAGGCUCGUAAUCGGAAUCAUCCGAUGAGUCUUCUUCGGUGUCAGAAUUAAUUUCUGGUAAUAUAUGUCUUUCCUCAUUGCCAGAGUCUUCGUCUAUUUCUUGAUUUGGAUCAACAUCAAUAAGCCUUGGCUCUUCAUCACGAAUUCGCACCGAACGACCCGCUUUAAAAUUAUUAAGGCGAACGGUAGAGGAGUUAGGAAUACCUAUUGCGUUGGGCUCUUGAUACGCAACAUCCUCUUCCUCGGCUUCGGCCUCUCCAAGUGUAGCCGCCCGGUAAAUAUUUCGAGGGUGCACCAGGUUGACUACUUUCCACGCGUCACCCUUAGCAAGGUCAUCAAGAUAAAACACUUGUUUUACCGAUGUGGCAAAAAUGAACGGGUCAUCUUCGUAAGAACUUGUAGCAGUGUUCACCGAUAAUAUUCCGUACUGAUCGGUCUUCAUGCUCUGCGGCCUAAUAUCAAACCAUCUACACUUGAAGAGGUGCACUGUCAUGCCUUGCCUAUAAACGAGUUCCACUACUGAAUGAAGAACACUGUAAGUUCGGAUCGUUCCGAUUUAAGAAUAUCGAAGUUAGGCAAUGAUGAGCGUAUUUAUGGCUCUCGGGUAAUUUUGCCUAUUUUGAUUAAAUAUUGGAUUAUUGGUUGGGAAAUUAAUUUUAUAUUUGGAACAGGAUGUGAGGAGGCUCGAGCAGACGAGACCCCAGAUCGACAUCAGGCUUAGGCCUAAUUUGUAAGUGGACGUUUAUUUUAAAUAAAUGCAUGCUAUAGUUCAUGGUUGAACAAUUAAUGUUACGGAAUAUUUUAACGUCAUUUUAAUUUGACGAUUUUUAUUUCUCUUGGAGAGUUACCGAAAAUAAGAUUUUCGAUGGAUAUAAAUAUGUAUUUAUGAGAGAGUAUGUAUAUANNN